GAAUUUAGGUUCUAACCAAUUUACCUCCAUCAUCAAAGGGAUGUUCUAUGGCCUCCCUAAUUUGACUUUGUUAAACAUAAUCAAUAACAAAAUAAAAUCAAUUGAAGCCGAUUCGUUUAUUCAUCUCAUUGCCUUGACGGAACUGGACCUUACAGGAAAUCCUCUAACUGAGAUUGGGGCUAAAGCUUUUGCG
Zophobas morio is the source of this 193-nucleotide long non-coding RNA. RefSeq lists it as uncharacterized. The transcript has 3 exons. Lineage: Eukaryota; Metazoa; Arthropoda; Insecta; Coleoptera; Tenebrionidae. The record is from RefSeq and is a predicted model, not a curated record.